AUUACUCUUCUUUUAUAGUUACUUAGUCUGGCUAUAAAUACUGUUACAAUUAAAAAUAAACAAAAUAUUACAUUUGAAUUUGGAAUCUGUCAUUUUUAUAUGAUUGCUCAUUGAGUUUUUUCAUUUUGGCGCCAAUACAUUGUACAAUAUUUUGCGAUAUUAAGAUGGAGUGGGGUGAUAAAGAGAACCGAGUCGAUGUGAUUGCAUUAUACAAAGCAGGUAUGGAGCCAAAUGCAAUUUUUAAAACUCUCCAUACGCUUGGUAUUAGUAAAAUGUUUAUGUACCGGGCUAUUAACAGGUGCAAUGAGACCUCCUCUGUUUGUGACAGGAAAAGAUCUGGCUGUCCACGUAGUGUUCAUACGAAAAAGGUGGUCAAAGCAGUAAGGGAAAGAAUUCGAAGAAAUCCUGUCCGAAAGCAAAAGAUUUUAUCUCGGGAGAUGAAGAUAUAGAACCAUGAACCAUAGAACCACCUAGAACCAUGUCGCGUAUUUUAAAAGAUGACUUAGGACUUGCAGCCUUUAUGAGACGUACUGGUAAUUUCUUAACUGAUAAUUUAAAAGAGAAUAGGGUGGUAAAAUCGAAACAACUACUGAAGCGGUACGCAAAGGGAGGUCAUAGAAAAUUUUUGUUUACGGAUGAGAAAUUUUUUACAAUUGAGCAACAUUUUAACAAACAAAAUGACCGUAUUUAUGCUCAAAGCUCUAAGGAAGCUUCCCAAUUAGUCGACAGAGUGCAACGUGGGCACUAUCCGACUUCAUUGAUGGUUUGGUGGGGUAUUAGCUAUGAAGGAGUGACUGAGCCAUACUUUUGUGAAAAAGGUAUCAAAACAUCGGCACAAGUGUAUCAAGAUACCAUUCUUGAGAAGGUAGUGAAGUCCCUUAACAACACCAUGUUCAAUAAUCAAGAAUGCUUCUUCCAGCAAGACUCGGCGCCAGGUCAUAAAGCUCGGGCUACGAAGUCUUGGUUGGAAACGAACGUUUCGGAUUUUAUCAGAGUUGAAGACUGGCUGUCGUCUAGUCCCGAUCUUAAUCCGCUGGAUUAUGAUUUAUGGUCAGUUUUAGGAGAUACGGCUUGCUCUAAACGCCUUGAUAAUUUGGAGUCCCUAAAACAAUCCGUACGAUUGGCAGUGAAAAUUUUUCCCAUGGAAAGAGGUAUUGCAGCCAAUGGAGACCACUUCGAAUAAGCUUUUUAUACUUUAAAUAAACUAACACACUGUAAAAGUAAUAAAUUUUAUUUGCAAUAGAAUUUUUUUCUUUGUCUCAGUAUUUAUGGCAAGACUAGGUAAUUACCCCAUUUAUACUCUUUUUAUCUAGAUACUUCUUUACUUAUCUUUUAUCGAUUCUGCUGUUUUAUUAUUUAUAGAUAAUAUAUAUUCAUAUUGGUCCACGAUCCGGUGUGUUUCCUACAAGUAAAUCUUCCUAAAUAGUUUCAAGUCAUCUUUUUUACCUAUACUUUUACCCUAACCUUUAAAGAAAACAGCAGCACAUAGUAACAACAAUAAAGUCACUAAGUCAGAUACCUUACCUACAUAUCUGUUGGUUUAAUUUGGCGUGCAGUCUUGCCUGCAAACAGGGCUGCCGACGACCACGGCCUAAGCGGCUUAAGUCAUCAUUAGAUUAGCCGGAACUAUAUCUCCGGUUUAAGGCAACAAAAAACUUUGGGAGCCUCUGGAUUAUAGGUAUACACCCCUUAGGUAUUGUGGUAUCAAAAUGGUAAUACACCAGCAACCUAUUUGAAAAAUGGUUUAA
This is a long non-coding RNA of Bombyx mori (domestic silkworm), 1748 nucleotides long. RefSeq lists it as uncharacterized. The record is from RefSeq and is a predicted model, not a curated record. The transcript is spliced from 2 exons. NCBI's taxonomy places the organism in Eukaryota, Metazoa, Arthropoda, Insecta, Lepidoptera, Bombycidae.